RNAcentral lists this ribosomal RNA (666 nucleotides) under Triticum aestivum (bread wheat). RNAcentral describes it as "partial small subunit ribosomal RNA". The record is from RNAcentral. Lineage: Eukaryota; Viridiplantae; Streptophyta; Magnoliopsida; Poales; Poaceae.
GAAACCCCUGACAGUGUGGUGGAACCAUCUUUCUAUGGUUCUUACACUGAAUCUGAGCCGACGUGCAUGAUGCAUCAUCAGAGGCCGAAGAAUAUGGUGGCUUUUGAAGGUGCUUUGACUGGGAUGCGAUUCCUGGGUUGUCAUGUGCAGUAGGUGGAUGGUCCUUGGCCAGAGAUUCUACAAAGGUGCCUAACAAGGAUUUGGGACAUGUACCAUAACUUGGGGAGGGUGAGUGACAAACAAGCCCAUGAGAAAGAGGUGGGCAAGCUACAAAAGGAAAUUGAUUUCCUGUCAAACAACUACAACCAGUUGGUGGAAGAUGUAUCCAAGCUUUUUGACUAUCAAGAUGGCAAGAUGUCUCAUGACAUGGACUAUACCAGUCAGGCAAUCAAUGAACUAGCUGAGAAGAAGAAACAACUUGAGGAUCAGGCAAAGAUUGAGUUAAGUAUGGAAAAGCUGAAGCUUGCCAAGGAGCAAAGGUGCAUUCGUCAAAGCCAAGCAGAUAUCAUUCAGAACAUGAGGAAGGCCAUGAAGGAACUGGAGGGGGACAGGGACCUACUUAAGCAAGAGAAGAAGAAGCUGGAGUAUCUGAUUGCUGAUCUGCUCAAUGCUAGGCAUGCCAGCAAAGAUAAGCUGGAAAGGAUCAAGGCAAUUAUGAAUGAGUGA